UCCAGGGUUGCUGUGAGCUAUAGUGUAGGUUUCAGACGUGGCUUGGAUCCUGCAUUGCUGUUGCUGUGGUGUAGGCCAGAAGCUACAGCUCUGAUUCUACCCCUAGCCUGGGAACCUCCAUAUGCCAUGGAUGCGGCCCUAAAAAGACAAAAAAAAAAAAAAAAAAAAAAAAAAAGAGAGAGAGAGAGAGAGACCCCAGAGAGCUCUCUUGCUCCUCCCCCCAAGUGAGGACACAAUGAGAAGACUGCCAUCUAUGGAUAGGGAGCUUGGGUUGGCAUGCGCACACUAUUGUAUAUGGAAUGCAUGGUCAAGGGGGCCCUGCAGUGUAGCUCGGGGAAGUCUACUCAAUAUUGUUUUUUUUUUUUCCUUUUUUGGGGGGCGCUACACCUGUGACAUAUGGAAGUUCCCAGAUUAGGGGUCGAAUCAGAGCUGCAGCUGCCGGCUUACCGGCUUCCGCCAUAGCCACAGCAACAUAGGAUCCUAGCAGCAUCAGCAACCUAUGCCCACAGUUGGUGGCGACUCCAGAUCCUUAACCCACUGAAUGAGGCCAGAGAUCCAACCCUCAUCCUCAUGGACACUAUGGUAGGUCCUUAACCUUCUGAGCCACAGGGGGAAUUCCCAUCUACUUAAUAUUCCGUGGUAACCUUUAUGGGAAUGGACAUAUGUUUAUUUAUAAGUGAAUCACUCUGCUGUACAGUGGAAAUUAACACAACAUUGUAAAUCAACUAUACCUCAAUAAAAUUUUUUUUAAAAAGGAAGAAGAAAAAGAAGAUUGUCAUCUAUGAACCAGGAAGUGGGCUCUCACAAGACACUGAAUGUACUAGAACCUUGGUCUUGGACUCCCCAACCUCCAGAACUGUGAGAAAUACAUUUCUGUUGUUUAUAAUCCAUAUAGAGACCUUGUUUGGGCCUCUUUAGGGUGUAGUAAAUCAGGACAAUUUGGAUUCUCUUCUCUUUCCUACUCCCUUUCCCAUUCCCUCACUUGGCAGGAGGGAUCUUUGCAGCUUGGAUGCCAUAUACCAAACGGAUGCCAACUGAUUCCAUAUCUCGUCCCAUCUCCCCAUUCCCUUCACACCCUGAAGUCUGUAUGUGACCUCUUCUUCCUCACUCUCUCAAGUUCUGUGUUAGACCAUCUAUAUUAGAAUGCUGCUUAUUAGCAGGUAUAAAAAAGGUUGAUUUGCCUGUGAACCUUGAUGGAUUUAGAAUCUUUCCCAAAUAUUCAAUCAGGCUUCACUGACCACUUUCAUUUUCUUCAUUUUUCAAAUGAAGCAGGUAGUUGAUAAAUUCCUUAUGUGGGACAACCUGGGAAGCUGUGACACUGCCAAAGUGAAACCAGGGAUCUCUCUGCCAGGAAAUUCAACAGAAAAGAAUUUCUGCCCAGAUAUGUCUAUGAUGCCUAUGUCUGUCGAUUUUAUUUGCUUUGCUAGCUAUUGUCUUCCACCUUUAUUUCAUAUACGGAAAUCGAAGUCCUAAUAAAUGUUAAGUGACUAAGAGCAGGACUCAGAAAAUUAGAGGAGCAACAAGGGUUCUCAAUUUUUAUCUGUUUGUACUUUUUCCUAACAAUCCCCACCUGAUGCCUUCCGUGUAAAUACCUGGUUAACGCAGGAGGAAAAAGACUGUGACAGAUUCUGGUCUUUUAGUGCCAUGUACUUUCUUUGUAUUAAUGCUAUUAAUCAUCUGAUUACUGUUAAGUCAUUUUAAGUUCUGGUGAGAUCAGCAUCUCCUGAAUUGCAGUGCAUUUUUGAGCACUGACUGCAUCAAUACAGUGUAUUAGGUUCUAUUUGGGGGAAACUGAAAGAAAAAGAUAUGGCCCCCGAAAUAUAGUAUCUUAUACUCUAGUUAGGAAACCAAAUGCACAGAAAUGAUAUUAAAAAACUGUAUAUGGGAGUUCCCAUUGUGGCUCAACAGGUUAAGAACCCAACAUAGUGUCUGUGAGGAUGAGGGUUCAAUCCCCAGCCUUGCUCAGUCGGUUAGGGAGCUGGCAUUGCUGCAAGCUUCGGCAUAGUUUGCAGAUUGGGCUCAGAUCUGGUGUUGCUGUGGCUGUGGCAUAGGCUUAAGCUGCAGCUCCGAUUCAUCCCUAGCCCAGGACUUCCAUAUGCCACAGGUGCGGCCUUGACAAGGGAAAAAAAAUUGUAUUAUACCAUAUUUCCUUUAAAAAAGGUGAAACUUUUUUCCUUUUUAAUGGUCUUGCCUUUCCACAGCAUUUACAUUUCAGCCAAACUUCUCUUAAUAUGAUGUUUCAAAGUUAGUUAUUCUGGAGUUCCUGUAGUGGCUCAGCAGAAACGAAUCUGACUAGUAUCUAUGAGAACACAGGUGUGAUCCCUGGCUUUGCUCAGUGGGUUAAGUCUCUAGCGUUGCCAUGAACUGUGGUGUAGGUCACAGAUGUGGCUUGGAUCUGGCAUUGCUGAGGUUGCGGUGUAUGCCAACGGUUACAGCUCCAAUUCGACCCCUAUCCUGGGAACCUCCAUAUGCCGUGGGUGCAGCCCUAAAAAAAUGACCAAAAAAAAAAAAAA
This 2513-nucleotide long non-coding RNA is filed under the name Sus scrofa (pig). Its description in RNAcentral is "lncRNA (ENSSSCG00015004307.1)". Lineage: Eukaryota; Metazoa; Chordata; Mammalia; Artiodactyla; Suidae. The record is from RNAcentral.